Molecule: unclassified non-coding RNA, 209 nt
Filed under: Hevea brasiliensis (rubber tree)
Lineage: Eukaryota; Viridiplantae; Streptophyta; Magnoliopsida; Malpighiales; Euphorbiaceae
Source: RNAcentral
GUCGGAGAUGGUGGUAAUAUUGAGAAAGUUGACGCUGAUCAUGCAGAUGAUCCUGGGAAAUGUCCUUCACCAGGUGACAACAUUCCAGAAUUUGGAGGUGUAUGUCACGUGAACUUUAGCAGUGGACCUGCCAAAGGAAAAUUUUGCUGGGAUAGACAACCAGAAUGGAGUGCAUAUAGAGAGAGCAGCUUCGGGCACGGGAUACCGGA